UACGUAGGGGGCAAGCGUUGUCCGGAAUUACUGGGCGUAAAGGGCGCGUAGGCGGCCUGCCAAGUCUUGUGUGAAAACCCUGGUUUCAAGCCAGGAGGUGCACGGGAAACUGGCGGGCUUGAGUGCAGGAGAGGGAAGUGGAAUUCCAAGUGUAGCGGUGAAAUGCGUAGAGAUUUGGAGGAACACCAGUGGCGAAGGCGACUUUCUGGACUGUAACUGACGCUGAGGCGCGAAAGCGUGGGGAGCAAACAGGAUUAGAUACC
Molecule: ribosomal RNA, 263 nt
Filed under: uncultured bacterium
Lineage: Bacteria
Description: partial 16S ribosomal RNA
Rfam family: Bacterial small subunit ribosomal RNA
Source: RNAcentral